RNAcentral lists this ribosomal RNA (301 nucleotides) under uncultured bacterium. RNAcentral's name for it is "partial 16S ribosomal RNA". It matches the Rfam family "Bacterial small subunit ribosomal RNA", at positions 509 to 807 of the family's 1533-position model. The record is from RNAcentral.
CAGUAGCCACGGUAAUACGUAGGGUGCAAGCGUUAAUCGGAAUUACUGGGCGUAAAGCGUGCGUAGGCGGUGAGUUAAGUCUGCUGUGAAAUCCCCGGGCUCAACCUGGGAAUGGCAGUGGAUACUGGCUCGCUAGAGUGUGUCAGAGGAUGGUGGAAUUCCCGGUGUAGCGGUGAAAUGCGUAGAGAUCGGGAGGAACAUCAGUGGCGAAGGCGGCUAACUGGUCCAUAACUGACGCUGAGGUGCGAAAGCGUGGGGAGCAAACAGGAUUAGAUACCCCCGUAGUCCCUGUCUCUUAUAC